This is a long non-coding RNA of Ceratina calcarata, 552 nucleotides long. RefSeq lists it as uncharacterized. The record is from RefSeq and is a predicted model, not a curated record. The transcript has 2 exons. NCBI's taxonomy places the organism in Eukaryota, Metazoa, Arthropoda, Insecta, Hymenoptera, Apidae.
CGAAAGUAGUGUCUCUAUUUUCGUGGUCACUGACAACUUAGCUUAAAGGGCUAAGUGUAGAACGCGGAGUGUAUAACGCGCAGUUGAAUCUACCUGACGUUGGCACUGCGCCAAUCUUGUAUAAUACGAAAGUUACACAUUAUAAAUAAAUUUCGUAUUAUAUAAUGUCAAGUGUAGAAUCUCACAGCUGGUUCACUGUACCGUAAAAUCUAGUCGAUUCAUGUACGACAUAAAAGAUACAUGUUAUAAAUAAAUUUUCUAUUAUAUAAUGUCAAGUGUAGAAUCUCACGACUGCUUCAGUGAACCGUAAAAUUUGACGUCGUAAACUGUUGAUAGUGGAAGAGAUGAGAAAUGGAUUCCAUCUGAGGAUCGCAUCUUUUUAUAAUGCCAGAUGAAUGACAUUUGGAAUGACAGAUCAGGGAUGUUGAGCAAAGGAAUGUAAAGAGUUCAGAUUUAAACAAAGUCUGCAAACGUAAAAAAAUGAUGUAUACGGAAGUCCGCCAAAACCGGAAAGCAAGGCGUUAAAUAAAUAAUUAAACAGUUUUAUAAAUA